Molecule: ribosomal RNA, 610 nt
Filed under: Ceriporiopsis balaenae
Lineage: Eukaryota; Fungi; Basidiomycota; Agaricomycetes; Polyporales; Meruliaceae
Description: eukaryotic LSU rRNA
Rfam family: 5.8S ribosomal RNA (bases 205-358)
Source: RNAcentral
AUCAUUAUUGAUUGAAUUUGAGUGGGGUUGUAGCUGGUCAUUCUUAUGUGACAUGUGCACAUCUCAUUCAUCCAACCUUCACACCUCUGUGCACUUCUCAUGGGGUUGAUUAUGUCUGAAACAUGGCAGAGUCCUUCUCAUGUGUUUUUWCCACAAACAAAUUUGUUCUAGAAUGUUUUUAUUGUGCAUGAAUGCAUAUAAUACAACUUUCAGCAACGGAUCUCUUGGCUCUCGCAUCGAUGAAGAACGCAGCGAAAUGCGAUAAGUAAUGUGAAUUGCAGAAUUCAGUGAAUCAUCGAAUCUUUGAACGCACCUUGCGCUCCAGGGUAUUCCUUGGAGCAUGCCUGUUUGAGUGUCAUGGUAUUCUCAAUUCUUCUGCAAUUUUUUUUUUGCUGGAAGAACUUGGACUUGGAGGUCUUUGCUGAUGUUCAAAUUUUUAUUUGACUAUUGGCUCCUCUUAAAUGUAUUAGCUUGAGCACUGUCAAGCAUGAUUCAAUGUGAUAAAUGUCUACGUUGCUUCAUGCUGGGACUAUAAAAUGUGUUCUAGCUUCGAACUGUCCCUUUGGACAAUAUCUGAACAUCUGACCUCAAAUCAGGUAGGACUACCCGC